Capra hircus (goat) is the source of this 103-nucleotide small nuclear RNA. The record is from Ensembl. NCBI's taxonomy places the organism in Eukaryota, Metazoa, Chordata, Mammalia, Artiodactyla, Bovidae.
GCUUUCUUCAGCAGCGUAUAUCAAAACUGGAAAUGCACAGAGAAGGUUAGCAUGGCCUAUACGCAAGGAUGACUUGCAAAUUCAAGAAGUGUUCCAUAGUUUU